Molecule: ribosomal RNA, 1171 nt
Filed under: Kaloula borealis (Manchurian narrowmouth toad)
Lineage: Eukaryota; Metazoa; Chordata; Amphibia; Anura; Microhylidae
Description: partial 16S ribosomal RNA
Rfam family: Bacterial large subunit ribosomal RNA
Source: RNAcentral
GGCAAGGCAUUUAGUUUGACCCCCCGAAACUAAGCGAGCUACUUCAAAACAGCCUUAAAGGGCCAACCCGUCUCUGUUGCAAAAGAGUGGGAAGAUUUUCAAGUAGAGGUGAUAGACCUACCGAGCUUAGAGAUAGCUGGUUAUUUAGGAAAAGGAUCUAAGUCCUACCUUAAGUUCCACAGUAACUACCAUUACAUCAAUGAACCUAAGAGCUAUUCAAAUAAGGUACAGCCUAUUUGAAACAGGAUACAACCUAAACCACAGGGUAAUGUAAUAUACACUGUGACCAAGUGGGCCUAAGAGCAGCCACCUUUCAAAAAGCGUUAAAGCUUAGUCACUAAUUUUCUUAAAUUCCAAUAAUUUAUCAAAACCCUUUUUCAGUACUAAAUGACUCCAUAACCUUAUGGAAAACCAUAUGCUAGAACUAGUAACAAGAAGAAGACCUUCUCCAAAAUACAAGUGUGAGCCGAAAUGAACAACUCACCGGCAUUUAACGUAAAUGAGCCCACAGUAGCAACCAAACAAGAAAACCCUACUCAUUUCUACGUCAACCUUACACCAGUGUAUUUCUGGAAAGAUUAAAAGAAGAGGAAGGAACUCGGCAAAUUAUUAACUCCGCCUGUUUACCAAAAACAUCGCCUCUUGACAAAAUAUAAGAGGUCCAGCCUGCCCAGUGACAAAGUUAAACGGCCGCGGUACCCUAACCGUGCGAAGGUAGCGCAAUCACUUGUUCUUUAAAUAAGGACUAGUAUGAACGGCAUCACGAGAGUUAUACUGUCUCCCUCUUUCAAUCAGUGAAACUGACCUCCCCGUGAAGAGGCGGGGAUAUAAUUAUAAGACGAGAAGACCCCAUGGAGCUUUAAACUCAGUAUCAAUUACCUAAUUAUACACCAUUUUAACCUGGUAAAUAUGACCACUAGUUUUCGGUUGGGGUGACCGCGGAGUAAAAUAAAACCUCCACGAUGAAAGGACCAAUCCUCCUAAUCAAAGAGCCACAGCUCAAAGAAUCAAUAAAUUGACAUAAUUGAUCCAAUUAAUUUUGAUCAACGAACCAAGUUACCCUGGGGAUAACAGCGCAAUCCACUUCAAGAGCUCCUAUCGACAAGUGGGUUUACGACCUCGAUGUUGGAUCAGGGUAUCCCAGUGGUGCAGCCGCUACUAAAGGUUCGUU